RNAcentral lists this unclassified non-coding RNA (571 nucleotides) under Aspergillus versicolor. RNAcentral describes it as "partial contains ITS1, 5.8S rRNA and ITS2". The stretch from base 188 to 341 matches the Rfam family "5.8S ribosomal RNA". Lineage: Eukaryota; Fungi; Ascomycota; Eurotiomycetes; Eurotiales; Aspergillaceae. The record is from RNAcentral.
UUCCGUAGGUGAACCUGCGGAAGGAUCAUUACUGAGUGCGGGCUGCCUCCGGGCGCCCAACCUCCCACCCGUGAAUACCUAACACUGUUGCUUCGGCGGGGAACCCCCUCGGGGGCGAGCCGCCGGGGACUACUGAACUUCAUGCCUGAGAGUGAUGCAGUCUGAGUCUGAAUAUAAAAUCAGUCAAAACUUUCAACAAUGGAUCUCUUGGUUCCGGCAUCGAUGAAGAACGCAGCGAACUGCGAUAAGUAAUGUGAAUUGCAGAAUUCAGUGAAUCAUCGAGUCUUUGAACGCACAUUGCGCCCCCUGGCAUUCCGGGGGGCAUGCCUGUCCGAGCGUCAUUGCUGCCCAUCAAGCCCGGCUUGUGUGUUGGGUCGUCGUCCCCCCCGGGGGACGGGCCCGAAAGGCAGCGGCGGCACCGUGUCCGGUCCUCGAGCGUAUGGGGCUUUGUCACCCGCUCGACUAGGGCCGGCCGGGCGCCAGCCGACGUCUCCAACCAUUUUUCUUCAGGUUGACCUCGGAUCAGGUAGGGAUACCCGCUGAACUUAAGCAUAUCAAUAAGGCGGAGGAA